GCGCAUGUGGCGUAAUUGGUAGCCGCACCAGACUUAGGAUCUGGCGGGGAAACCCGUGGGGGUUCGAGUCCCUCCAUGCGCA
Molecule: transfer RNA, 82 nt
Filed under: Bacteroidota bacterium
Lineage: Bacteria; Pseudomonadati; Bacteroidota
Also listed under: 1 other name
Description: Bacteroidetes bacterium (anaerobic digester metagenome) tRNA-Leu
Rfam family: tRNA
About the family: Transfer RNA (tRNA) molecules are approximately 80 nucleotides in length. Their secondary structure includes four short double-helical elements and three loops (D, anti-codon, and T loops). Further hydrogen bonds mediate the characteristic L-shaped molecular structure. tRNAs have two regions of fundamental functional importance: the anti-codon, which is responsible for specific mRNA codon recognition, and the 3' end, to which the tRNAs corresponding amino acid is attached (by aminoacyl-tRNA synthetases). tRNAs cope with the degeneracy of the genetic code in two manners: having more than one tRNA (with a specific anti-codon) for a particular amino acid; and 'wobble' base-pairing, i.e. permitting non-standard base-pairing at the 3rd anti-codon position.
Source: RNAcentral